This 690-nucleotide ribosomal RNA is filed under the name uncultured Acidobacteriota bacterium. RNAcentral's name for it is "bacterial SSU rRNA". It matches the Rfam family "Bacterial small subunit ribosomal RNA", at positions 15 to 690 of the family's 1533-position model. The record is from RNAcentral. Lineage: Bacteria; Pseudomonadati; Acidobacteriota.
GAUCCUGGCUCAGAAUCAACGCUGGCGGCGUGCCUCAGACAUGCAAGUCGUACGUGAAAGUCCUUCGGGAUGAGUAAAGUGGCGCACGGGUGAGUAACACGUGAGUUAUCUGCCUUUGGGUGGGGAAUACCAACCGGAAACGGUUGUUAAUACCGCAUAACGCUUGCGCUGUAAUGGCGUAUGUUAAAGCGGGGGAUCAGCAAUGACCUCGUGCCUGAAGAGGAGCUCGCGGCAGAUUAGGUAGUUGGUGAGGUAAUGGCUCACCAAGCCUGCGAUCUGUAACCGGCCUGAGAGGGCGGUCGGUCACACUGACACUGACAUACGGGUCAGACUCCUACGGGAGGCAGCAGUCGGGAAUUUUGGGCAAUGGGCGAAAGCCUGACCCAGCAACGCCGCGUGAAGGAUGAAGCAUUUCGGUGUGUAAACUUCGCAAGAAUAGGAAGAAUAAGUUUGAACAAAUAAUUCAAACGAUGACGGUACUAUUUAUAAGCUCCGGCUAACUUCGUGCCAGCAGCCGCGGUAAUACGAGGGGAGCAAGCGUUGUUCGGAUUUACUGGGCGUAAAGGGUGCGUAGGCGGCACCACAAGUCACUUGUGAAAUCUUUGGGCUUAACCCAAAGCGGCCAAGUGAUACUGUGGAGCUAGAGUGCAGAAGGGGCAACUGGAAUUCCCGGUGUAGCGGUGAAAUGCG